GACGAACGCUGGCGGCGUGCCUAAUACAUGCAAGUAGAACGCUGAAGGAGGAGCUUGCUUCUCUGGAUGAGUUGCGAACGGGUGAGUAACGCGUAGGUAACCUGCCUGGUAGCGGGGGAUAACUAUUGGAAACGAUAGCUAAUACCGCAUAAUAGUAGAUGUUGCAUGAUAUUUGCUUAAAAGGUGCAAUUGCAUCACUACCAGAUGGACCUGCGUUGUAUUAGCUAGUUGGUGGGGUAACGGCUCACCAAGGCGACGAUACAUAGCCGACCUGAGAGGGGGAUCGGCCACACUGGGACUGAGACACGGCCCAGACUCCUACGGGAGGCAGCAGUAGGGAAUCUUCGGCAAUGGACGGAAGUCUGACCGAGCAACGCCGCGUGAGUGAAGAAGGUGUUCGGAUCGUAAAGCUCUGUUGUAAGAGAAGAACGAGUGUGAGAGUGGAAAGUUCACACUGUGACGGUAUCUGACCAGAAAGGGACGGCUAACUACGUG
This 495-nucleotide ribosomal RNA is filed under the name uncultured bacterium. RNAcentral's name for it is "partial 16S ribosomal RNA". It matches the Rfam family "Bacterial small subunit ribosomal RNA", at positions 28 to 507 of the family's 1533-position model. The record is from RNAcentral.